AUUUCUUCACUCCAUCCACCUAAUGGAGAAGUGCAGUUGUCUCCGCCACUUUGUUGCUGGUGCAUUCUGUGGAAAAAAGGGAGAAAACACAAUAUUAAGCUAAAUUUAAAUAUGAAGAUUAGAGUUUGUUUUUUCUUCAUUUGACCCUGCCAUCCAAUCAACCCAGUCAGUCAUAAUCUCAAGUAUUUAACUUACAAAGGAAUGCAUUGCCCAGCACUGGCUCGCUGGCUGGCUGACAAGCGAAGUUCAAAAAAAACAUUGUUUUCACUUCUCGUAAAUUCUUAACUAAGUACACAGCCAGCCAUUGGACUGGAACUGCAAGCAAGCUGGAAGAAGACACCAAUCGACCACAACGAUUAUAGUUGCUCUGCUGCUGAUAACCUUUGGACAUUUA
Molecule: long non-coding RNA, 394 nt
Organism: Musca domestica (house fly)
Lineage: Eukaryota; Metazoa; Arthropoda; Insecta; Diptera; Muscidae
Exons: 3
Source: RefSeq, a predicted model, not a curated record